UAUGACGAUAUCACGUUGAAACACUGAUUGCCGUACGAUUAUCGAAGUUAAGCAACGUCGUGCCUGGUCAUUACUUAAAUGGGUAACCACUUGGGAAUACCAGGUGCUGUGGG
This is a non-coding RNA of Acanthosepion pharaonis, 113 nucleotides long. Lineage: Eukaryota; Metazoa; Mollusca; Cephalopoda; Sepiida; Sepiidae. The record is from the annotation of a GenBank genome assembly.